This 462-nucleotide ribosomal RNA is filed under the name uncultured Planctomyces sp. RNAcentral describes it as "bacterial SSU rRNA". It matches the Rfam family "Bacterial small subunit ribosomal RNA", at positions 338 to 795 of the family's 1533-position model. The record is from RNAcentral. Lineage: Bacteria; Pseudomonadati; Planctomycetota; Planctomycetia; Planctomycetales; Planctomycetaceae.
CCUACGGGGGGCUGCAGUCGAGAAUCUUCCGCAAUGGACGAAAGUCUGACGGAGCGACGCCGCGUGCGGGAUGAAGGCCCUUGGGUUGUAAACCGCUUUCGGAGGGGAUGAAAUCCUCGAGGGUACUCCCUCGAGGUUGACAGAGCCUCAAAAGAAGCACGGGCUAAGUACGUGCCAGCAGCCGCGGUAACACGUACUGUGCGAACGUUAUUCGGAAUCACUGGGCUUAAAGGGUGCGUAGGCGGCGAUUCAAGUCAGAUGUGAAAUGCCUGAGCUCAACUGAGGCAUUGCGUUUGAAACUGAUUCGCUAGAGUAUUUCAGGGGUGUGCGGAACUGCCAGUGGAGCGGUGAAAUGUGUUGAUAUUGGCAGGAACACCGGAGGCGAAAGCGGCACACUGGGGAAUUACUGACGCUGAGGCACGAAAGCUAGGGGAGCGAACGGGCUUAGAUACCCGAGUAGUC